UUACGGUUAUACCACGGUGAAUCACCAGUCCCCGUCCGAUCAUCGAAGUUAAGCAACUUUGAACCUAGACAGUACUUAGAUGGGUGACAGGUCGGAAAUACCAGGUGCAGU
This is a non-coding RNA of Acanthosepion pharaonis, 111 nucleotides long. Lineage: Eukaryota; Metazoa; Mollusca; Cephalopoda; Sepiida; Sepiidae. The record is from the annotation of a GenBank genome assembly.